This 68-nucleotide microRNA precursor is filed under the name Bombyx mori (domestic silkworm). RNAcentral's name for it is "mir-2774 microRNA precursor family". It matches the Rfam family "mir-2774 microRNA precursor family". The record is from Rfam by way of RNAcentral. Lineage: Eukaryota; Metazoa; Arthropoda; Insecta; Lepidoptera; Bombycidae.
ACAACAUUCGGACCGUCGGUCUACCGAGCAAUAUCACCCGCUCGGUGGAAGAACUUUCCUUUCAUCGU